RNAcentral lists this long non-coding RNA (446 nucleotides) under Homo sapiens (human). Its description in RNAcentral is "non-protein coding lnc-SPACA5B-3:3". The record is from RNAcentral. Lineage: Eukaryota; Metazoa; Chordata; Mammalia; Primates; Hominidae.
ACUGAUCACAUAGACCCGCAGCACUCAGCCAGGCCCCUCACCCCGGCUCUGCUCUCAAGCCGGGCUUGGCUCCCCGCCUGCCCAAAUGCGUUCAACAUCCCCCGAAAGGCCAUUUCCCUUCCAGUCUUCCCGGAGAGAUGUCAGGGUGACGAGGGAGCUUAUCUUUCGGUGGCUCCGAAACAGCCACGAAGCCGAGCUCUACCAGUAACAAAAAUGGCGUCAUUCCGCCAGCGCCAGGACCUCUGUCGCUGGCCGUGGUCUCGCACUGCUUCUGGAGGCUCCCAUUCCAGCCAGAGGAGAGACCUAACACCCUACAUGACUGCAUGGGAGAUACGGCCUAUAAGAAGAUGAUUAAGGUUAAUGAUGUCAGAAGGUGGAACCCUGAUUGGAGACAAGUGUAAGAGACCCAAGAGAUUCUCUCUCCGCCAUGUGAUGACACAGCAUGA